GACGGACGCUGGCGGCGUGCCUAAUACAUGCAAGUCGAGCGAGACUCUUCGGAGUCUAGCGGCGGACGGGUGAGUAACACGUGGGCAACCUGCCUGUAAGACUGGGAUAACACCGGGAAACCGGUGCUAAUACCGGAUAAUCCUUUUCCUCUCAUGAGGAGAAGCUGAAAGUCGGUUUCGGCUGACACUUACAGAUGGGCCCGCGGCGCAUUAGCUAGUUGGUGAGGUAACGGCUCACCAAGGCGACGAUGCGUAGCCGACCUGAGAGGGUGAUCGGCCACACUGGGACUGAGACACGGCCCAGACUCCUACGGGAGGCAGCAGUAGGGAAUCUUCCACAAUGGACGAAAGUCUGAUGGAGCAACGCCGCGUGAGCGAUGAAGGCCUUCGGGUCGUAAAGCUCUGUUGUUAGGGAAGAACAAGUACCGGAGUAACUGCCGGUACCUUGACGGUACCUAACCAGAAAGCCACGGCUAACUACGUGCCAGCAGCCGCCGUAA
RNAcentral lists this ribosomal RNA (500 nucleotides) under uncultured bacterium. Its description in RNAcentral is "partial 16S ribosomal RNA". It matches the Rfam family "Bacterial small subunit ribosomal RNA", at positions 28 to 523 of the family's 1533-position model. The record is from RNAcentral.